This is a non-coding RNA of Elaeis guineensis (African oil palm), 1305 nucleotides long. NCBI's taxonomy places the organism in Eukaryota, Viridiplantae, Streptophyta, Magnoliopsida, Arecales, Arecaceae. The record is from RefSeq and is a predicted model, not a curated record.
AAAAACCAAUUUUGCUUUUUAAUUCAAAUAAAUUUCCGGUGCCAGCUCUUCUUUUUCUUCGGCGCUUCCCUUCUCCUGUUGUCACUCCCCAACCCCGCCUCAUCAGAAAGAACCACCGCAGCGCCGCCGCCGGUGAAAGCGGGGGCUGCGGCCUUCCCCCCCACUCCCCGACCUUCAGACCCGAGGGCAGGGGUGCUCAAAAUCAUGGCUGUUGGGUUUGCUAGGUUCUUCCUCAAUCCCUAAUCAAAAACAUUGGUCAUCCGCUAGGGUUGACUUCUCAUCUCUCCGCCUUCAUCGCCUCUCAGAUCCCCGAGCCUCAUCACCUAUCGCUGGUCGAAGCAAGGCGAAGGGGAGCCUCCUAUCGUUAACCGACUGCGGUUCCAUUGAGCCCCCGCACCGCCGUUGCCUCCUUGAGCAGCGCCGGUGGCACCAUCACCUUCUUCUUGCCAGCGCCGGACUUUCUGGCUUGCUGCUGCUCCGCCUUUUUUGCAAUGCCGAUCUGGUACUUGAGCUGGAUCCGUGCCAGCCGGUCCUCGAAGGUGGGUCACUGGUGGCUGAUGCAGGAGGUUCGGUCCGGGCGGCGGCAAGGAGGACACUUUCUUAGGCUGGGGAUCGUUGGCGAGCAUGCAAGGGGUGAGGCGAGGGGUUUUUUUCUUCUGUUGGUAAGUAGGGAAGAAUUUAGAGAGGGAGUGAUGGGUUGGCGCAAACUAAAAGCAUUGUCAAACUGACUUUGUGGUUUCCAAUAUAGGUGGCAUUAUGAAGGUCAAAAUACUUCAGUGGCAUGCUGUGGCUUCUUGGACAUGGGAUGCUCAAGAUGAAACAUGCGGUAUCUGUAGAAUGGCGUUUGAUGGCUGCUGCCCGGAUUGCAAAUUCCCUGGAGAUGACUGUCCAUUGGUUUGGGGUGCAUGUAACCAUUCUUUCCAUCUUCACUGCAUACUGAAGUGGGUGAACUCACAGAACUCACAGGCAUCCCAGCAACAGCCACAAUGUCCCAUGUGUCGCAGAGAGUGGCAAUUUAAAGCAUGAGAAUUGAUGAAUGGGUUCUUGGAAGCAACUUGUUAUUUAGAGUCGGUUAAUGUGCUGGAAAUAGAGUAUUUUCUGUUAUAUGAAAGUUGGAGACCACCCUUCUCUUUUUCAUGUAAAAUGUAGGUUGGACAAUGUCAAGGCUACGGACAUGAAGUGUUCUUUUAUCUGUCAAUUUUGAUGGAUAUUAAUGCUUCGGCAUGAAAAUAGUUGGUCAUAUGUGGAUUGCAUACUUUUUUUGAAACAAAUUUCUAUUACUACGCCGAUAUGCCCUUUGUGCAU